This 3566-nucleotide long non-coding RNA is filed under the name Sus scrofa (pig). Its description in RNAcentral is "lncRNA (ENSSSCG00050002380.1)". Lineage: Eukaryota; Metazoa; Chordata; Mammalia; Artiodactyla; Suidae. The record is from RNAcentral.
UUUUUUUUUUUUGGUCUUUUGGUCUUUUCUAGGGCCGCACCGAUGGAACAGUGUUCAAAUUAUGUGGAGAACAAAUAAAGAGAAAAGAACAUGGAAGGCCAUUUUUCAGUUGGCAACUCCAGGAUACCUACUUUAAAAAUGUGAAAGUAGAGUGAUUCAAAGUUUUAAAAUACACUAGAGGAAUCAUAUUCAGAAAUGAGAUCUGAUUUGCAGACCAAACUGGACAAAUAUACACAAUACUUCAAAAUGUAGUAACUGCAGUUUUCCAACUUUGUAAGGCAAAACUAAAAAAAAAAAAAAAAGAAAGAAAAAAAAAAGAAAAAAAAAUGGAAAAUGUUAUAAAAUACUGUUUGGGCUCAUGAAAGCUAUAUCUGUCUAUCAGGUGCCUCCAGAUUUUGUUCAAGGUGAAACCAACAAUGAUAUUAAUCUACCAUGGGUGUGUGGUUAAACAUGUAAGAGAGAUACUUGGACAUGUAUUAACGAGAGAAUGAAAUACAUAAAAUUGAAAUCUGUAUGUCUGUUUGGAAGAUGUUUAUGUGCAAAGAAAGAAAGCUCUGUAGGAAUGACUAGCGGGUACAAUUUCUGCCUUUCGCUCAGCCAUCACCCUAUUUCUUUGCUCCCCUUUACAGAAAUAUUCUGAAAUAGGUCAGUUUCCUGGUCCACUCCAAUGGAACUUUGCCUCUGUAGAGGCUGAAGAAUAGUCAAGCAAAAGCAGCAGGUGGAAUGUAUAAAAAUUGCCGUAUAAGGAAAAAGGGUCUUUGCAGAUGUGAUUAACAUAAGGUUGCUGAGGUGGAGAUUAUACUAGAUUGUUGGGGGGGUGCUUCUUCAAUCCAAUAAGAUGUCCUUAUCAGAGGGAGGAGAGUGGAGAUUUGAUACACACAGAAGAGAAAGCACUGUGAAGAUGGAGGCAGAGACGGGAGUGGUGCUACCACAGGCAAAUGAAUGCCAGCAGCCACCAGAAGAGGCAAAAGUCAGAGAUCCAGAGGGAGUGUGGCCCCUUGAGCCCUCAUUUCAGCCCUGUGGGAUGAAUGUUGAACUUCUGGCCUCCAAAACUCCAAAAGAAUACAUUUCUCUUCUUUUAAGCCAUCCAGUUCCUGUGGAUUUGUUACAUCAAACAUAGAAACAAAUACAGCUCCAUUCCAAAAAAAAAAAAAAAAUCUGCAGCAGUAAAAUUCACAAAUGACCUCCUAGAAGCUAAAUUUAAUAGUUAAUGUACUCAAGUUCCCACACUACUUGUGACAUCGUUUAUCUUAUCACUCCCUUCUUUUUAUUCUUUAGUUGAUGCAAUGGUCAGUUUUAGGUGUUAACUUGGCCAGGAUAUAGCUUCCGUUAUUCAAUCAAACACUAAUCUGGGUGGUUUUUGUUUCUGUUUGGAAGAUGUGAUUAAAGUCUAAAAUAAAUUGACAUUAGAUGAGAAAGAUUAUCCAGAUCAUCCGGGUGAGCCUGAUGCAAUCAAUUGAAAGGGCUUAAGAUGAAAACUGAGGCUUUUCUGAAGAAGAAAGUAAGGAGGAGGAGGGCAAUGAGAAUCAGGACAAGGAUGAAAAAUGAGAGGGAGGGGAGGGAGGACAGGGAGAAAGGAGAAAUAAUUCCAGCUAUGGACUGCAUCUUCAGCUCCUGCCUGCCCUUUCUGACAGCCUGCCCUGCAGAUGUCAGACUUGCCAAGCCAGAACCCACAACCAUGUAUGCCAAUUUCUUGCAGUAAAUAUCAGAAUAUAUAUUUCCUACUGGUUCUGUUUCUUGGGUUCAACUCUGACUGAUACACUUGGCUUCUGAUCCCACUCUUGGUUUCUGUCCUAUUUCACCAGGUGCUUCUUUUUAGUCUCCUUUGCUCUUUCCUCCUCGUAUUUCUUAUGGCUUGAUGUUGCCAAGCCCAGGACUCCGUGUUUGGACCUCUUUUGCUCAAUUUCACUCACUUGGUAAAUGAUUUUAAGUACGACCUAGGUGUUAAUCCCUUGCAUUUAUUUUUAAUCUAUAUCCUGGACCUCUUCCCCAAACUCCAGUCUUACAUCUCCACCUCAGGUUUCUUACGGGCAUUUUAACAUCACUUGUCUAAAUCUGAAUUUCUCAUUUUCUCAACAAAACUUACUCCUCUAGUAGUCCUUCUUUCUCAGUAAAUAGCAUCAGUCUUUCCUGCUGCUCAGGUCAGAACCUCAGUCAUACUUGACUUUUCCCUUCCUUUCAUACACAUACCCAAAGGAUUAAAAAAAUAAAGUGGACUCUAUCUUUUAAAUUUAUCCUAAAUAGGGCUGCUUUAUCCCACUUUGUUCCAAAAUACCAGAAUCUUUUGCUUGUAUUAUUUAUUAUUGAAUUAAGCUCCUAAAUGGUCCCUUUUCUUCUGUCCUUAUUAUUUGUGCUUUUACAUACACAUUAUUCCCAAUAGACCAACUGGCAUUCUGAAAUAGUCUAAAAUAUGAAUUAUUACAUCAUUUUUCUGUUCCAAACCCUCUGGCAGCUUUAGGAUUCAGAGUAAAAACCAGAGUUCUUGCAAUGGCUUAUCAGGGUUAAUAUGGGUCACCUCCUCCUCGGACCUCAACUCCUGCUACUAUUUUUCUCCUUCGCCUGGAUCCAACCACACUAGUCUUUUCCUUUUCCUUGAACAAACAGGGAAAGCCUCUGCCUCAAGUUUUUUGAAUUUGUUCAUCCUUUGUUCUAUUUGCUCUUGCCCGGUGUCCACAUAGCUUGUUCCAUCACCUUUAUCUGAAGCAUCUGCUCAAAUAUCACUUCAUUUAUUCUAGGAAAAUUCCUUUCUCUUUCCUGUACCUGCACUCUAACCCUUGUCCCUUCUUUGUUUUCCUCCCCCAGCACUGAUCACCAUUUGCUGUACAAUAUAUUUUACAUGUUUAUUUAGCUUCUGUCUCCUACCACUAGAGUAUAUACUAGUGGUUCCUUAAGGUCAGGCAUCUUUGUUUUGUUCACUGCCAUAUUGGGGUGGGGGGAGGUGUGUGCUAAUACAGUGCCUGGCACAUGGUAGGUUUUCAAUAAAUACUUCAUGAGUGAGUGAAUGAAUGACUGUACUUAUGUUUAUGAUCAACUGGAUACAUAAGCCAAUAUGAACGGAUACAAGAACAUUUAACAGAACAGACACAAAAUCCUUACCUGGCUCAGUCAUUUUCUAUCUUAUUUUGUGAUGCUGCUUAUUGAGUUGACUGCACCCUAAAUUACUUUGGUGGGAAUUACUUUGUAUGCUUUUCAGUAAUAUGUCUGUCAGGAUGUAAUUAAUACCUACUGGAUCUGUUUUUAAUCUGCUUGAAGUUAAAUUCAAGGAUAGAAGAGGAUUUUUAAAAAUGGGACAUAAGGUUUAGAACCUAUACAACCCAUGGUUUUAGUUAGAGAUUCAAGACAAAAGAAUCAGGGGCCACUCUAGGUGGGUCAGAAUUAACUUAAUUGAACUCCUCUCAUUCUAUAAAAUUUAUUUUUAUUGAUUUGUAGAGAAUUGGCCUCGAUUACAUCUGGUAAUAUAUAGCUGUAUGAGAGCAGGAUGUAGUGGCAAUUGUCCACAGCCAGAUGAAUGCGCCUAUGCUUCAUGGUGGGAAAUGCCAGUACAGCAGUGACUUAGUGACUCCAAU